RNAcentral lists this ribosomal RNA (715 nucleotides) under Achromobacter sp. Its description in RNAcentral is "bacterial SSU rRNA". It matches the Rfam family "Bacterial small subunit ribosomal RNA", at positions 46 to 758 of the family's 1533-position model. Lineage: Bacteria; Pseudomonadati; Pseudomonadota; Betaproteobacteria; Burkholderiales; Alcaligenaceae. The record is from RNAcentral.
GUCUACCAUGCAGUCGAACGGCAGCACGGACUUCGGUCUGGUGGCGAGUGGCGAACGGGUGAGUAAUGUAUCGGAACGUGCCCAGUAGCGGGGGAUGACUACGCGAAAGCGUAGCUAAUACCGCAUACGCCCUACGGGGGAAAGCAGGGGAUCGCAAGACCUUGCACUAUUGGAGCGGCCGAUAUCGGAUUAGCUAGUUGGUGGGGUAACGGCUCACCAAGGCGACGAUCCGUAGCUGGUUUGAGAGGACGACCAGCCACACUGGGACUGAGACACGGCCCAGACUCCUACGGGAGGCAGCAGUGGGGAAUUUUGGACAAUGGGGGAAACCCUGAUCCAGCCAUCCCGCGUGUGCGAUGAAGGCCUUCGGGUUGUAAAGCACUUUUGGCAGGAAAGAAACGUCGUGGGUUAAUACCCCGCGAAACUGACGGUACCUGCAGAAUAAGCACCGGCUAACUACGUGCCAGCAGCCGCGGUAAUACGUAGGGUGCAAGCGUUAAUCUGGAAUUACUGGGCGUAAAGCGUGCGCAGGCGGUUCGGAAAGAAAGAUGUGAAAUCCCAGAGCUUAACUUUGGAACUGCAUUUUUAACUACCGGGCUAGAGUGUGUCAGAGGGAGGUGGAAUUCCGCGUGUAGCAGUGAAAUGCGUAGAUAUGCGGAGGAACACCGAUGGCGAAGGCAGCCUCCUGGGAUAACACUGACGCUCAUGCACGAAA